UAAAUAUUUAUUAAAAUUAGUAAAAUAAUUGAUACAUAGUAAAUUUCAAUGAAUCAUCAUGAGAUUUUAGGCAAUUAAGAUCACAACUAUCCAUGCUUAUUCUUUUGAAUGAGAACCAGAAUGGUUCUGACAAAAUAUUAAAUGAUGCUAACUGUUAUUCUUGUAAGGAUUUUCUUAUCUUUCUGCUUUGUAACUAAAGAAAGAAAGAAACAAACAAACCCACACAUCUCAGAUCAGGUUAAAAGUUUCCUAUGAAAUGAAAAUGCUGAUUUUUUUAUACUGACGAGUUCAGGGCAUAUGGUUUCCAGACUAUGUUGCUGCCAUAUCUAACUCAGAGAAUCUGGUCUCACCAUCUUACAGAAAUACAUUUAAACUUGUGGAAAAGAGAUGACAACAAUGCUGCCAACAAAGUCUCCUCUUACACAGUGAUAUUUAGCAGUCACAAGAAAUCAAAUGAUUUUGAAGAGGAGAGCAAAGAAGGCUUUCACAGAAGGAACUGAGGGGUGGAAGAAAUGUGUUUGUGAACAUGAAGGGUUCAGGAGUCUAUAGGAAAAUGAGUUUGAAAUCACAAAUACUAUUGAUAUAUACUAUACUUGAAAGAAAUAUUCUGAAAGUGCAAAUGCAUUAGAAACAGGUGAAAUAUCUACACUGAGACUUUUACAUCCCUAGUAAAAAGAAGAUACUGAAAGAACAGGGAAAACAUAGAAUAGGUAUUAAAAAUAAGGUGACAAACUGACAGCCUAAUAUCCUGUUCAGAAAUGAGACAAAGUUUUUGAAAAAACUAUUUCUCCAUGAACUUUCCAACUUUUCACUCUGCAGACGCCAGCCUGUGAAAAAAUGCAGUGCUAUUUUUGCAUGUAUGGGAAGUGGGACGAUAACACUUCUGCCUUCUGAAAUGUUAUUGCUUCUCUGUUUAGCUGAAAAUUAUCUGUCCCUCAGUACUAUUCCAAUUCAUUUUAGAAUAACAGUCUUGAGGUGAAAAUUCAUAGAAAGAUGUGAAUUUUAUCUGAUAGAUACCUGUUACUCUGUUCUGUACAGACAUCUGGCAGAUAAAAACUGCUCUUUCUGUGUUUUUGUUAGCAAAGCAAAUAUAUUGAAUUAUUCACUCAUUUUUAAAUUAAUUUUUCACUGAACGUAAUAGCAUUCCAUCAUUUUCAAAAGGCAAAUUGGAAUGCAGAGCAUAGGUAGCCACUGCGCAUGUUAAAAUACCCUUUGUAAAAAGUAUCCAAUUCUUUUUUCAGUUCUGUUUUUUUAUUCUCUGAAAAUGUCUUUAUUUUCUAGGCUGUUAUGUCAGAAGAAACUCAGAUAUACUUCAGAUAUACAGGCAGAGGAGCAGACUCAGUUACGUCUCUUUGCUCCUGAUCCUGCAGUAACUUUCCAACCACAUGAAAAAUUAUCACAUUGUCAACACUGCACUGAUGGGUACAUUUUAAUGUAGCAUCUACUACAAGUCACAUUGUUUAUUUGCUUACUGGUAGAGGUUUGGUUUGGAACACAUACAGAAUCACAGAAUGAUUGAGGUUGGAAGGGACCUCUGACGGUCAUCUAGUCCAACCCCCCACCAACCAGGGUCACCUACAGACAGUCAUAGGAUUUAUGGACACUCACACACCUGCAUAAUCUUACAGUGUAUGGGAUGAUCAAAAUAAUCCUGGACUGACAGAACAGCUGCUAUCAUUAAAUGUGACAAAGAAACCAUGCAAAACCCAGAUUUAUUAUUAUCAUUCCUAAUUCCUCUGGCUAUGAAUUGUGGGUACAGAUUUAAAUCACACCUCUUCUACUAAUAAGGACACUGGUGACUACAUUUGGACUUUUAAUUUUUGACAUUCCCCAUCCAUCCCAGUAAUGUCUGUAAUAAUUGUCCUCAGAACAAAUGAACAUUAAAAAACAGAGUAUACACAGCAUCUUGUGAACUGUAAUCAAAGCUGGGAAGCAGAAGUGAGUGGUUCUAGUGAGUGGUAAGACCAAGUCAGUAACAAAGUUUGGGCACGCCUGGAAAAUAGAACCAAACAUAUAUACAUAAUUAAAGAAAAUAAUCAAGAAGGCUAUGAUGAAACAGGAACUGAAUGCAUUAUAUGCAGACAAAACAAACUAACAAACAAACAAAAACUAGUUGUAGUUGCAUAUCUUGACUUGAGCUAGAUAGUCAGAAACAACUGGUAUGGUCCUCUUGCGUUCCUCUAAAAUGGAAAAUCAAGUUGGUUCAGAAGUCAUUCCUUAAUAAAUGGGGCUCAUCCUAUCCUCA
RNAcentral lists this long non-coding RNA (2245 nucleotides) under Anas platyrhynchos platyrhynchos (common mallard). RNAcentral describes it as "lncRNA (ENSAPLG00000023709.1)". The record is from RNAcentral. Lineage: Eukaryota; Metazoa; Chordata; Aves; Anseriformes; Anatidae.